GAUGAACGCUGGCGGCGUGCCUAAUACAUGCAAGUCGAACGCUUCACUUCGGUGGAGAGUGGCGAACGGGUGAGUAAUACAUAAGUAACCUGGCAUCUACAGGGGGAUAACUGAUGGAAACGUCAGCUAAGACCGCAUAGGUGUAGAGAUCGCAUGAACUCUAUAUGAAAAGUGCUACGGGACUGGUAGAUGAUGGACUUAUGGCGCAUUAGCUUGUUGGUAGGGUAACGGCCUACCAAGGCGACGAUGCGUAGCCGACCUGAGAGGGUGACCGGCCACACUGGGACUGAGACACGGCCCAGACUCCUACGGGAGGCAGCAGUAGGGAAUUUUCGGCAAUGGGGGAAACCCUGACCGAGCAACGCCGCGUGAAGGGAGAAGUAAUUCGUUAUGUAAACUUCUGUCAUAGAGGAAGAACGGUGGAUAUAGGGAAUGAUAUCCAAG
This 444-nucleotide ribosomal RNA is filed under the name uncultured bacterium. RNAcentral's name for it is "bacterial SSU rRNA". It matches the Rfam family "Bacterial small subunit ribosomal RNA", at positions 28 to 469 of the family's 1533-position model. The record is from RNAcentral.